Molecule: ribosomal RNA, 355 nt
Filed under: uncultured bacterium
Lineage: Bacteria
Description: partial 16S ribosomal RNA
Rfam family: Bacterial small subunit ribosomal RNA
Source: RNAcentral
CCUACGGGUGGCAGCAGUGAGGAAUAUUGGUCAAUGGGCGGAAGCCUGAACCAGCCAAGUAGCGUGCAGGAUGACGGCCCUACGGGUUGUAAACUGCUUUUAUACGGGAAUCACGCGCCUUACGUGUAGGGCUUUGCAUGUACCGUAUUAAUUAGGACCGGCUAAUUCCGUGCCAGCAGCCGCGGUAAUAAGUGGGGUCCGGGCGUUAUCCGUAUUUAUUGGGUUUCAAGGGAGAGUAGGGGGCAGGGCAAGCGUGCUGUGAAAUUUUCGGGCUCACCCCGGGCCGUGCAGCGCGAACUGGCGGGCUUGAGGACGCGGAAAGCAGGCGGAAGUCGUGGUGUAGAGGUGAAAGGCU